This 254-nucleotide ribosomal RNA is filed under the name uncultured bacterium. RNAcentral's name for it is "partial 16S ribosomal RNA". It matches the Rfam family "Bacterial small subunit ribosomal RNA", at positions 524 to 776 of the family's 1533-position model. The record is from RNAcentral.
UACGAAGGGGGCUAGCGUUGUUCGGAUUUACUAGGCGUAAAGCGCACGUAGGCGGCUAUUUAAGUCAGGGGUGAAAUCCCGGGGCUCAACCCCGGAACUGCCUUUGAUACUGGGUAUCUUUGAGUCCGGAAGAGGUGAGUGGAAUUCCGAGUGUAGAGGUGAAAUUCGUAGAUAUUCGGAGGAACACCAGUGGCGAAGGCGGCUCUCUGGUCCGGUACUGACGCUGAGGUGCGAAAGCGUGGGGAGCAAACAGG